UCAAUGUGGGAGUCCUAGUUGGUCUACUCGUGAGCUGAGACCUUCAGACAAAUCGCCCACCUCUUUGAGUUUGAGUUUCGACCUCAAUAGAAUCAGAGAAAGAAGCCCUUUCUCAAAAGAAGGGCUGACUGAUGCAACAGCAUGGAUGAAUCUUUCAUUCAUUACACUGGAUGAAAGAAACUGGGAGCAAAGGAGGACAUAGGAUAUCAUUCUGUUAUGAAAUUCGAAAAUAGAGCCAGGCACAGUGGCUCACACUUGUAAUCUCAGCACUUUGGGAGACUGGAGCAGGAGGAUUGCUUGAGCCCUGGAGUGUGAGACCAGCCUAGACAACAUAGAGAGAUCCUGUCUUAAAAAAAAAAGAGAGAGAGAGAGAGAGAAAGAAAGAAAGAGAAAAUCUAAAAGAGGCGAGACUGUCUUAUAGUGACAGAAACUCAAUCAAUGGUUACCUGGGUUGUGUGGUGGAGACUAUUGAAUGAAGAAGACAUGAGGAGUCCACUCAACUAAAUCCCAGGUAAUAAGGCCUUUACAGUUAUCCCAAUCCCUGGUGACACUUGCAACCAUUUGAUCUGCAAGGAAGACACAAAUUGCAACACGGACAAAAUAUACACAGCACAAGAGGCAUCACUAAAGACUCUUGCCCCAUAGGGAAAAGCUGAGAUUCACUUGUCCCCAAGUAGCUUGAAAACUGGUCAGAAGAAAACAGUGACAACACUCUGAAGAGUUUGCUAUUCCUCGAUUUGCAGUCAGUAUAAAUACACCAUUUUUUAAAAGGAAACAUUUGAGAUGACUGCACUGUAUACCAGUUUGUGCUCACCAUUUGACACAUCUGUGACAUUUUUGCUUCCAGAAAGGCAGUAAACAACACCAACAUGUAACCCUGGGGUGGCCUUGUCGACAUUGCAAGUGCAUACCUGGCAUAUCAUCUGACAGCCUGAGAGUGCCUGCUAUUACUCAGAAGAAAAGAUGGUGUAUCUGAUAGUCUGAAAAGAACAAAGACUGCAGUUACUUCAUCACUCUUGCCGGAAGGUCUGGAAUUAAUUGUGUUUCUUUAUACCCCAUCUAAUUUUACAAAAUCAUACUUCUCCCUGGCAGUUUACUAAUUUACCACCUCAUCUAAGAUAAGACUUUGCCAACAGUAAUAACAUUUAGAAAAUGCUGUCAUGCCUGCUGAACAUAGUCUCCCAUUCCUCCAACCUCACCCCCAGCCCAUAGACACACAUCUACACAGCUCACUCAGAACUUAAAGCAGGUAGACCCAGCCUUGAGGGUCAAAAAACAAACAAACAAACAACAACAACAACAACAACAAAACAGAAUGAUCUGGUGCCUCAGAAGUUUAUCUUCACAAUAAGAGUAACUAACUCUAUUCAGACACCUCUUUGAGUAUCUGCUCCAGCGUCUGUCCAAUGGGUAAAGAGAGUAGAAAGAAAUAAUUGGUCUGCACUUCAGAAAGGCAUUUUAGUGUAUUUAUAUUUCCCUUGUAUACAUUUGUUGUGUGCUUAUUGUAUAAAGAGCACUGUAUGGAUUACCUCCCCUCAAAUUUGAUGGGCAGGGAGCAAAGCAGGGAAACUGCAAAUUUUGAAAUGAGCAUGGAAAUAUCUAGCCUGAAGAUUCUAAAUGGAACAUUCGGUGUUACGGUGUUUGGGGAAUAGCAAAUGACUGGGGGUUUGGAUAUUCAAUUCAGUUGCAUAGUCAAUUUCACCAAAUUCUACUCUUAAGUAAGCAGGCUUGGUACACAAAUAUCUUCCAAAUUUAAUCAUGGGAAUAUGGCAUAUACAUGGGGACUUAGAGAAGGGGUGACAGGGCAAAGGUAACCAAAUCUUAAUAAGUGUUUCCCACUAGUCUAGUUUCUCUAGGCCAUCAAGCAAUACAUCCCUGAUCUUUAAGCAUGAUACGGUGUGUAUGUGUGAAUUGUGUGUGAGUGUGUGUGCUUGUGUGAGUGUGGGUGGAGUACAAACUAAAGCAAAAGAGCGUAUGUUUCCCUUCUGGCUCAGAUUGCAUUCGUAGAUAUAAUUAUUUGUUUAACAUAGCCACACAAUAUUAUAUUACAUCCUAUGAUUUAUUAGCAAAAGCACGCUCUUUAAACUUCAUUUUCCCAAGCAAUGAUAAUUUCUUGACAUGUUUCAUUACUGGGAAAUGACAUAGACAUUUGUUAUAUUCUCAGACAAUAAAAUAUUACCCUGCUCACAUACCUUCAUGGAAUAUUAAACAAAAUGAAUGCCGUUCCCUUUCUGUGUUUAUCAUAUCAUAUUAAAAGUGAAGACUAGCCCUUAUGUUUUCUUUCGUGAUAGAUGAGACAUUGGAAAGAAUGAGUUUAGUUUACCCUUCUUUCCAACUGGCUUUACUUAGCUAUUUGCAAAGCCUCCAAUAAUGCUGUUAGAGUAUCAUUUCAAUCAUCCAGCUUUUCAAAGGCCAUUCCCAAUGUACCUUUCUUUCAAAUCAUCAUGAAGAAUAAAAAUCCAAAAUUUCCCCUAUAAAUGCGUUUCUUAUCUUAACCCCAGAUUCAGUUAGUUUCAGGCAAUGAUGGAAAUAGCAAAGAUUGGGGAGUGAUCCAACGUAAGGAUUACACAAUUCUUCAUAGAAACUGGUUGUAGACCAACUUUAUGAAUAUGUUGUAAACAUUUAUCAGCCCACAUACUGGAUCUUUCCAUAUGCAUAUAAAGACCAUAUGAAAUAUACAUUCUUUACCACUAACAUAUCAAAAAGUGUUAUCUAGUGUGAGUGAGAGAUUACGUACUCACAGGGUGGUACAUGCACACCCAUAACCACACAGAUACACACAUUUAUUAUAGAAAGAGUUUUAAAAUACUAUGGACUUUCUGUAUAAAGCAGUUCAUCAUGGAGAAUAAUAAAUUUUCUUGAGUUUCAUCAAAUGUAUUGUAUAUUAAGUGGGAUUUUUCAAGGCUAUGCUUAGAGUUGAGUUGAAGUCCUAGACAUGUCUAAGUUUUCCUAGCUCUCAUGGAUAGAAUCAGCAUUAAACUGAGGGGAACUUUGGCAAACACCAAACAUUUUAGAUAAGGAAAAUCUGUGCACUUUUUGACAUGACUAUGGAAAAAUAGCCUAAACAUCUAAGACAACCUCAAGCUUAAGUUCAGAUGGUCUAAGUUCUACACUUAACCUUUACUACUACCUUGUUUGAAUUCAGGCCAAUAAAUUAAUUAUUCUAUACAUUAAUUUUUCCAGGAGUUCUCAGGAGAGAAUAAAUUUGCAGUAUCUAAUUUUAAAGGGGUUGGGAGAACAAAAUAAAACUGUGUAAUCAGUGCAGCUCUCUGCUGAAGGUGAGAACCUACACAGUUGACAGGGUUUGCUCAACAGAAGGGCCAUAGCUUAGUGCUUAGUUGUCACUGACUUGAAAUUCAUAAUAAUUUUACCUUUGAACUUGUGCUUGGUCGGUGAAGUCUGAUGAGACAACGAAGCAUGAGCAGAGCAGAUGUGAUAGGUGUGAACACGCUGUGUGCAGGCUUGGGUCUUCUGGAAUCCUGAGCAAUGGGCAGAAACAUCAACAGUGGCAGCAGCUGCCAUGGCUCAGGGAGAGAUUAUGUGCUCUGCAUGGGGGCAGCACCAACAUCACAGCUCGCCCUUCUACCUCCAAAGCCUGUCCUUAUAGCAUCUGUACCAAAAUUAACUCUCUGGUCUGAAUACUGGGACAGGAACUGCCUGUACUCAGGCCAUAAAGUUUGUCAAUACAUUAUUACAAAAUAAACUGUGCUCAUGGACAUUGCACUAAAGCAUGUCAGAUAGUUACUAAAAUUCUGCAAAGACUAGACUCUCUGGUUUUGAAAACUUCUGCAACAUUAAAAAGCAAAUAUCCACAGACUUAGAAACAGUUUAAAGAUCAUCACAUUCAAAAGAACAGUAUCCUUAUAUGAAGCUUUGGAUGAACCAAUUAUUAACAAGGAAGACAAUUCUAAGACUAAUUUUUCUGCCAAGGGAUAUAUUGUGAUAGAAUGCAUAAACAGUUGUUCUGAAUUGUAUACAAAUUAUGAAGCCAUCUUUGGUUUCUUGUAUGACUGCCACAAAUUGUAGGAAACAUUAGAGAAGAAAUGUUAGAGAAAACAAUAAAAUAAAAUGCUGUUGUAUAUAUUCACAUGUAAAAUUAAAUUCAGACUUACAAUAAACCAAUUUGAAUACAGUUAAAUCUUUUUAGAAAAGUUUUUUUGCAAGAAUCAUUAGCUCUUGGCCAGGCACAGUGGGUUACACCUGUAAUCCCAGCACUUUGGGAGGCCAAGGCAGGCAGAUCACCUGAGGUCAAGGGUUCAAGACCAGCCUGGCCAGCAUGGUGAAAUCCCGUCUCUACUAAAAAUACAAAAUUAGCUAGGUGUGGUGGUGGAUGUCUGCAAUGCCAACUACUUCGCAGGCUGAGACAGAAGAAUCGCUUGAACCUGAGAGGCAGAGGUUGCAGUGAGCCGAGGUUGUGCCACUGCUCUCCAGCCUGGCAGCAAGGAAUGAAGAAAAGACAGCUGUGCUGCUGCUCCCAUAUGAGCUCCAAGAUUCAUAAUUUCGUCAUGAUACCCUGAAGAAGAAAUGGACAUGGAAAACUGGCACUGAGACAUAGAUCAUCAGUCUGCUGCUGACCUAGAAACCUUGUGUUUACUGAAUUCAUCAAAGAAAGUCUGGACCAGAGAAACCUGAAUCCUUUCUAAUUCUCCACACAGAGCACUAUGGAAACUCUUCUGAUGGUUGGUUGAGAACAGGGAAACAUUAUAUGGGUUUAGAAAAGAAAAAAAUAUAACUGAUCAACACAGGGAUCAAGAAUGGGUCCAUCUGCAGGUUGUUCCAACCAACUGUGGAAGUGAUCCUGUAGCUCACGGUGUACAUUGUCACUAGUAAAACUUUCAAAGGCCUUCUGUAAUGAAAAGAAUAAGAAUGUUUUAUAAAUAUC
RNAcentral lists this long non-coding RNA (4882 nucleotides) under Homo sapiens (human). Its description in RNAcentral is "HSALNT0022165". Lineage: Eukaryota; Metazoa; Chordata; Mammalia; Primates; Hominidae. The record is from RNAcentral.